GGAGAGGUGUCUGAGUGGUCGAAAGUGCGGCUCUCGAAAAGCCGUGUCCCGCAAGGGACCGUGGGUUCGAAUCCCACCCUCUCCG
This 85-nucleotide transfer RNA is filed under the name Candidatus Magasanikbacteria bacterium CG10_big_fil_rev_8_21_14_0_10_36_32. RNAcentral describes it as "tRNA-Ser". It matches the Rfam family "tRNA". From Rfam's summary of the family: Transfer RNA (tRNA) molecules are approximately 80 nucleotides in length. Lineage: Bacteria; Candidatus Magasanikiibacteriota. RNAcentral also lists the same sequence under 2 other names. The record is from RNAcentral.